This 459-nucleotide ribosomal RNA is filed under the name uncultured bacterium. RNAcentral describes it as "partial 16S ribosomal RNA". It matches the Rfam family "Bacterial small subunit ribosomal RNA", at positions 338 to 795 of the family's 1533-position model. The record is from RNAcentral.
CCUACGGGCGGCAGCAGUGAGGAAUAUUGGUCAAUGGCCGAGAGGCUGAACCAGCCAAGUCGCGUGAGGGAAGACGGCCCUACGGGUUGUAAACCUCUUUUGUCGGGGAGCAAAGCGAACCACGUGUGGUUCAUUGAGAGUACCCGAAGAAAAAGCAUCGGCUAACUCCGUGCCAGCAGCCGCGGUAAUACGGAGGAUGCGAGCGUUAUCCGGAUUUAUUGGGUUUAAAGGGUGCGCAGGCGGAGGUGCAAGUCAGCGGUCAAAUUGCGGGGCUCAACCCCGUACUGCCGUUGAAACUGCAUCCCUUGAGUGCGCGAGAAGUAUGCGGAAUGCGUGGUGUAGCGGUGAAAUGCGUAGAUAUCAGGAGGAAUACCGUUAGCGAAGGCGGCAAUCUGGCUGGAAACUGACGCUGAGGUGCGAAAGCGUGGGUAGCGAACAGGAUUAGAUACCCGGGUAGUC